GGAGGAAAAGAACUAACAAGGAUUCCCCUAGUAACUGCGAGUGAAGCGGGAAAAGCUCAAAUUUAAAAUCUGGCAGUCUCUGGCUGUCCGAGUUGUAAUCUAGAGAAGUGCUGCCCGCGCUGGACCGUGUACAAGUCUCCUGGGAUGGAGCGUCAUAGAGGGUGAGAAUCCCGUCUCUGACACGGACUACCAGGGCUUUGUGGUACGCUCUCAAAGAGUCGAGUUGUUUGGGAAUGCAGCUCAAAAUGGGUGGUAAAUUCCAUCUAAAGCUAAAUAUUGGCGAGAGACCGAUAGCGAACAAGUACCGUGAGGGAAAGAUGAAAAGAACUUUGGAAAGAGAGUUAAACAGUACGUGAAAUUGCUGAAAGGGAAACGCUUGAAGUCAGUCACAUUGGCUGGGGAUCAGCCUCGCUCUUUUGCGUGGUGUACUUCCUGGUUGAUGGGUCAGCAUCAAUUUUGACCGCUGGAAAAAGGCUUGAGGAAUGUGGCAGCUCCGGCUGUGUUAUAGCUUCUUGUCACAUACAGCGGUUGGGAUUGAGGAACUCAGCACGCCGCAAGGCCGGGUUUCGACCACGUUCGUGCUUAGGAUGCUGGCAUAAUGGCUUUA
This 607-nucleotide ribosomal RNA is filed under the name Mycocepurus smithi symbiont CR2. Its description in RNAcentral is "eukaryotic LSU rRNA". It matches the Rfam family "Eukaryotic large subunit ribosomal RNA", at positions 52 to 642 of the family's 3401-position model. RNAcentral also lists the same sequence under 3 other names. The record is from RNAcentral. Lineage: Eukaryota; Fungi; Basidiomycota; Agaricomycetes; Agaricales; Agaricaceae.